Molecule: long non-coding RNA, 5959 nt
Organism: Oenanthe melanoleuca
Lineage: Eukaryota; Metazoa; Chordata; Aves; Passeriformes; Muscicapidae
Exons: 4
Source: RefSeq, a predicted model, not a curated record
GGAGACGGGCGGACGGGGAUGGGGCCGGGCCCCGGCGGGGAAAGCCGGUGCUGUCACAUCGCUGAAAUCACACCAUGUGCGAACCCGUGCUGGUUUUUCUCUUUUCACAUUCAAAAAGUAAUCUCUUUAUUUACCUGUUUAGUGCAAUUCCGGCGCGUUACCGAAUGUUGCGGUGUUGCCAUCAAGUUUAUCUCAAAUCUUCACGUUUUAUGAGGUAAAAAAUGGCUGAGACGGGCUCCUGAUCGAGGCUGAGUGACAACAGUCUUGUUACUUAAUCCGGAGAUGCAUUAUUGGUUUCUUCUGUGCAAAUACAUUUAAUGUUCUUGUGGCUAUGUUUUAGUAUGUGUUAUAGGUAUUUUUAGUGAUGCAGUGAUAACUUGUCCGUCUGAUUACCGGAUAUAGGGAGAAAAGUAUAAACUUAAAUUGCUGUAUAUGAAACUGAAGUCUCCUGUUUUAGCUAAGGUUAUCUGACACGAUCCAUUAUCUUUGUCACAUCUCAGCAGUUCUUCCCAAACUCUGCCCUGGUGACUGUCUACCCCAAGCUGUUUGGUUUGUUGAUUGAUUGAUUGAAGAGUACUAGCAGGAAUAGUGGGGUAAAGGAGAGAUGACUACUUGUGUCCAUACUUACGGCUACUAGGUGUUCAUAGUGCCUUAUAGUGAGAUUGUAACAUGAUGUAGUUGGUCAUGUUUGCAGUUUCUUGAGACUUGCCUUUAGAGCAGCCCAUUAUGGUCAGAUUAUAUACUUCUGAAAAACCUUUGGUGUAUGUAUGCUUCCUAGAAUAUGUCAGGAAAAUAUUGUCAAGACUUUUCCUGCUUUGGGAAUUUUGUGGUCUUUGAAGAACUGUUUUUGUGACAACUUUUAGCAGAUGGCUGUCAAAAAUGCAAGUAAACAAGCUGUGACUCCUCUAUGCUUGCUGUUUUUCAAGAGCUGGAGAGAGAGAUUAGCAAGGAGAAGGUAGGAACAGUGGUGGUUGACUGCCUGCAGGUGCCUCAACAACUGAUUUGCAGUCUCACAGUUUAAUGUACACAAAAGAACUCACAAUAAGAAACUGCUGAGAUGCCGGAGCCAGAGGAAAAUCUUGAGCCAAUGUUUCUACUUUUCAGGCAUAAAAUCAUUAUGAAAACUUGCAGGAAAUUUUGAUUUGUUGUUUUAGUUCUCUUGAGACUUUUUAUUUUCUAUGGAUGUGAAGUUUGAGCGUAUGUAUCAGUAUGACUGCAUUUGCCUGACAGUUCUUAACUACUGAUGAAAGCUACUGGAAGUUCUAGUAAGUUGUUACAGCUUUCAGGAAUGCUAAAUUCUUACAGGUGUCAUGAAAGUAACCACCAGAAAGGAAGAAAGAUUCCUUUAGCAUGGUUUGGAGGAGAAUUGUCUGAAGAGCUUGACCUUUUCUGUUUCUGUUAUUUGCAUGGCUGUUGUGGACCUGUGUUUUGGAAGUUACAAUAAAAGGGCAUAGGUUCACUUAGUCAAGCACUUAGAUAUUAGCAGAGAUGUAUAAUGAUUUUUUUUUCUCCAUGCAGUCUGGAAGUUACUUUGGAUUAUUUCUUCCCUUAGAUUCUUGUCUUAUCCUCCUCUUAUGUUUUAAUUUUGUUUUUGGUUUGUUUGUUUUUUUUAUCCCUCUUUCCACAGUUCCUCUGUCACAUUUAGUAUACGGGUGCUUCUGGAUUAGAUGUGACAUGAUAAUCAAAUAGUUGUUUGUGAGAUUGCUCCUGCAUUUGUUACAGAAACUAUGCAUAAGGAAUUAUUUUAGAUCAGUAUAAGCAUGUAGAAUCACAGCAUGAGUUGGGUUGAAACGGACCUUAAAGAUCAUCUAGUUCCAAGUCGUGGCCAAGGGCAGGGAUGCCACUCACUAGAUCAGGUUUCUCAGAGCCCCAUCCAACCAGGCCUUGGGCACUUCCAGGGAUGGGGCGUCCACAACCUCUCCUUGCCUUCUGUUGUCUGUUUUCUUCUGUAUAUCCUUCCUUCUCUGCAUCCUUAUUUGUAUUUUUUGUUUGUGAACAUAAUCCCUAGAGGGCAGCAGAGUAAGCAAUGCAUUCAGAAGGUGUAAAUUGGGCCAGUCUAGAGAUUCUCUUGAUGAGCCUCUCAUUCAUUAUCUCUUUUCAUUCUUGGAGAUAAUGCUUUCCCCUUAAAACGUAUUUCUCAAGUCAUAGCUUCAGGGGGAAGGUUUGUGUUUGGGCAGGAAGGCAGGGAUCCUUGGAGUACAAAGUGGAUUGCAACAGAGAGGAAGGGAAUUGGGGAGUAGACAAGUUGCAGACAAGAAAGAUGAAGUAGUUGCUUCUUUCCUUUUAGUGAAAUUGCUAAAAAGUAGAAACAGAAGCACAAAAGGAAAUAGCUUUCCCUAUCCAUUAAUUAACUCAGCUUAAAACCUAAACGGCUUCUGAGGAUGCUUCACACAGGGUUGAAGCCUCUUGCAGUUUUUGUUAGUGUGGAUUCUUUUGCUAGAGUGGAAUUCAUUGCUUAAAACCAGAUUUAUAUUAGGGUGUAGACUCCUGCAUAUUAUUACCUUACAGUGAAGGUUAAUUAACAGCAUUAAGUGUUGAGUGGUGAGCUAGGGGAAAGUAAAGACUGUUUAUUCAGAAUAAACUAUAUUUUUAAACCUAGGUUUUAACAUGCCAGUAUUACUAUAGAAUCAUUUAGGAUGGAAAUGACCUCUAAAAUGAAGUCCAGCCAUUAAGCCAAGUCCAUCACUAAACCACAUCCCUAAGUGCCAUGUCCAUGCUUCUUUUAACUACUGCCAGGAUGGUGACUCCACUGCUUCCUUGGGCAGCCUGUUCCAAUGCUUGACUAUUUCUGUGAAGGAAGUUUUCCAGAUAUCCAAUCUAAACCUCUCCUGGUGCAACUUGAGGCUGUUUCUUCUCAUCCAAUCUAUUACUACCUGUGAGAAGAGACCAAUCCCCACCUUGCUAUUGUCUCCUUUCAGGCAGUUGUAGACAGCCAUGAUGAAUAUUCCCCCCAGCCUUCUUCUUUCCAGGCUAAACAACCCCAGCCCGCUCAGCUGCUCCUCAUAAAAUUCACGAUCCAGACCCUUCACCAGCUUUGUUGCUCUUUGGAUUCUCUUCAGCACCUCUAAUAUGUUAUGCCCAUCUCACCUAUUAAAUUUCUAACUAAUUAGAUUUUAGGUCAAGGAAAAGAAUUGCAGAUCACAUGUUUGGCCUUUUUAUCUUAUGGUGACAGUUUCAUGCCUUCAGGUUUUUUUUUGGAAGAGCAUUUUGACAGUUUCCUGUUUUGGGAAUGUUGCUUUACACCAUUUAAAAUCUGUGUCUUUAAAUAUUUUUGGAAACAGGUCAACAGAUUUGUGAUGCUUCUCCAGAAAAAUUGUAGAUAGAUGAUGUGUGUUGUGUGAAACCCAAGAAAAUAGGAUGACUGUGGAAACCUUUUGGCAAUAUCCAGCCUAGAAGCUUGUGCUUUGAUGUGAAGGUUUAUAAUUGUUCCAUAAAGAAAAGUAAGCUCUUUGUCAUCAUAAACACAUUAAGAAAAGCAUGCCUGGGAUCAAGGUAAUUUCAGAUAAAUUUACACUGCUUGGAGUCUGUUCACGCCUCUGCUGGAAAAUAUAUAGGUGUCAUCUGUCAAGUACUGUGUUACUUUUAUAUUAAACACAUCUAGGCCUGCUGGGUGGCUUAGAGUGGACAGGGUGAGAUUUAUUAGUUCUUUUACACUGGUGGUUGUUGCUGUGUUUCAUUCAGCAUUCUUGAAUUUUCCAAAGACUUAACUUUUUAGUGGAACCAAUGGAAGAUGGUGGAUUUUCUACAGCUCUGGAAAAUCAGGCCUUCAGUCUCAAGCUGAAUAUAGCACUUACUAGUAUUUUUGAAUUUUAGUCUUAAUGUUUUAAGGUAGAAAUUAGUAAAAAUGGGUUCUAUAACUGGCCAUUAAAAUGCAACAACAAAGCAUUUGCUAACUUCCUUUCUACUGUUAAUAUCCCCCAACUGAGAUUUUUUUGCUGUCUUACUUUUUGUAGUGCUGUCUUCCAGUUACAGGUUUCAAGAGUUAUCUGCUUUCCAGAUCUGAAUGGAAUUUUUCUGCAUCAGGACAGUUGGUUGUCUGUCGCUGUGCUAACUUGAAGAGGUGACCAUUUGCUUUUCUGUAGAAAAGUAUACACUGUUUCUUAGAAGUCCAUGUGUUAUGGAGCUGUGCUGGAUUUUGAAGGGUUUUAUUUGGAGGAGAGGUUGAUUUCUGGCUGUUGAUAAACCUUCCAUAACUGAAAAAGUACAAGGAGUUGGUAUAGUAAAAGUCUUAAGGUAAGAAACUUUAUAGAAUAUGUCACUUCCAAGCAGGAAUUCUGAGUCCAUGUAAGGCAAAACCUAUACAAUAUAAGCUCUGUGCAAGAAAUCUAUUCACUGUGCUGAGGAUAGUUUUGUGCUGGGUACUCUUCAAGGUGUGUUUCUUGGAGAGGCUGCUGGAAAAGGGGCACUAGCACACACACUACACACAGGUAGAUGCUUCUCUCCAGAAAGCAAACAAUGAGGCUUUUAAGACUUGGGCUUUUAAAAUUUACCAAAGAGUUUAGGCUCUUUAAGUCUGAUUCAGUAUUAUUCUCUAUAUAUAGUAGAAUACAAAGAAAAAAAAAAGAGGACCUGCUAGCUAGCACAAGCAUAUUCCUAACUAGGAGUUAUUUUUCUGAAUCUGGGCCUAAACCAUGUAAUUUUCAGUUUUAUUCUUUGGACAGUAUAUGGUGAAAACCUAGAAUUAAAAGUGUUUUUUAAAAAUGUUGUUACAUUAGAGACUACUAAACAACAGUUGAGAGAUAAAGAUGCAGUUAGUAACAAUACAGUAAUUCAGCCUGCAGAGCUCCUUGCUCCUUUACAAAAAACAAUCACCCAGAACUAUGGGUUCCUAGGCUUAUUGUGGGCAGGGCAUGCAAAUAAAAUUAUUUGUUACAAUUACUUAGCAGGUCCCUGCAUUCUGUUAGAAUUCAAGCAAGCUGCAUCUGAACUGCUUAAGUUUGCCUUGUUUUAUAUUGAGAGACACAGGAAAUAUGAGGCCAGUAAAAUGCACAAUAAAAUUGUUAAUAAAAAAAAUCCCACCAAACCUGGAACCAGAGAAGCCAUGGGUAUUUUCUGUCCCUUCUCUAAGUAACAACAUCAGUGGGUCACUGCCUCUGCUGUCAUAGUAGCUGUUGUCCCAAACAGGGUGUGUGGGGGCUUUUUUGUUCUGAGGGUUUUAUCUUUUUCCCUCCUUAACUCUGGGAAUCCAGGGUGCUUCCUCCUGUUGAAAUAAAUGGAGAUGGACAUGCUGCCCAAAUGAGGAAAAAUUUUCUAUGCCCUUUUGAGGUGUUCUUUAAGGAGGAACAGUUCCUCCCUGUUAGCCCACACUCCAAAUGUUAGAUGUAUAAAUAAAAACUGGCUGUGUACUCCCUCAUCAGUUUUAUUUUGAGAUUUUUUUUCUUUCCUUUCAGAACAUUGGAUUUUUUUAGUUAUUUUUCCAUAAUUGUUAUCCAUAAAAAGUCUGGAGGAAAUUCAGUCAUUCCAAAACUAGAAAAGUGUUAAUAUUUACUGUUUGACAAAUUUGUUAUGGCUGCUUGGAAAUACUAACAUAACUCGGUUCCUAGGUCUACAGAAUGCUGUGCAACUGGAUAUUUCUUUGAGUUUAUAGAAAUAAUUGGACCUUUAGGAGCCUCAGGCUGAACUUUACCAGUGUCUUGAGAUAGUGGAGAAAGAAAUUGAACAGUUUCAGUAAGAUGCAUAGAUAUCUUCUCAAAUUCUUUCCUUUUGAUGGACACGUGCUUGUUAAACUACUGACUUACCUUAAUGAAACCUUAGUUUUAAGGACUUCUGUUUCUCAUUGCUCUUCCCACUAAUAAGAUAACAAAUAAGUUAAUCAUGAGCAACUAAGUAUUCAUGGAUGCUUUUACUUAACAGGAGGCCUUUGCCUGCGUUCCUUUGGGGGUAAGAAUUUGUACAAUGAUGACUGCUUUAUUGAUUUGAAUGUAAAAAUAAAUAAAGUUACAAUUGUUUUUCCAUCUUA